This 68-nucleotide transfer RNA is filed under the name Marmota monax (woodchuck). RNAcentral describes it as "tRNA.Ala". Lineage: Eukaryota; Metazoa; Chordata; Mammalia; Rodentia; Sciuridae. The record is from RNAcentral.
GUAGUGGCUCAGUGGUAGAGCGCUCUCCUAGCAUGUGUGAGGCCUUGGGUUCGAUCCUCAGCACCACA